UUCACUAAAUCUCUUUCACGUUUGCAGGUGUAAGGAUCCUCCGCCCGGCUGUAACUUAACAACCAGCAGAGGAACAAUUCCUGCUUGUUGCAGUGUAACCUGUUUCAAUAAGACAGAACGAUGCAUCGCAAGCAAUGGCACGGUGUUAGAGGAUGGCCAAAGCAUAAACCUCACAACACCUUGUAGGAAUGAAACCUGUGUUGGGGGGAAGCUUAUAUCUCACGGUGGUAACCCGGCACUCAUCAGUGGCCAAACCGCGUUGGCCGCCGUGCGGUCGCAUUAUAGCGUUUCAAUCGCUCAAUACUGUGCGUGGUCUCGACAGAGGCCAUUGAAGUUUUGACUGACCCACUGGUCCACCGCUCGUAGCCAUGUCACAUCAAGCUUCGGGCUGUGACCCUACAGGACC
Molecule: long non-coding RNA, 406 nt
Organism: Dermacentor silvarum
Lineage: Eukaryota; Metazoa; Arthropoda; Arachnida; Ixodida; Ixodidae
Exons: 3
Source: RefSeq, a predicted model, not a curated record